Molecule: non-coding RNA, 137 nt
Organism: Colletotrichum godetiae
Lineage: Eukaryota; Fungi; Ascomycota; Sordariomycetes; Glomerellales; Glomerellaceae
Source: the annotation of a RefSeq genome assembly
GGCCGGUUGGCCCAAUGGCAAGGCGUCUGACUACGACUCUUUCUACUAAGCGUUUCGUGCGGCUCUGCUGUACGAGGAACAUGUGGGAGAAGUGCAAAGGUAUCAGGAGAUUCUGGGUUCGACCCCCAGGCUGGUCA